Pantherophis guttatus is the source of this 1250-nucleotide non-coding RNA. Lineage: Eukaryota; Metazoa; Chordata; Lepidosauria; Squamata; Colubridae. The record is from RefSeq and is a predicted model, not a curated record.
GCCACCACCACCACCGCCGGGCCUACUUUGGAGUAAAAAAAUUAAAAAAAAAAUGGAUCCUCGCCUGGGUUUGACUCUUUCUUUCCCACUCACGACCGCCACCACCCGGGCCGCGACAGUGGGGCCCUGAAGCUACGAGGCUCUUUUCUCCCGCUUCCCCCACCCUCGUUCCCCAGACGGUGCGUUCCCACGUAAUGAUGGCGAGACACGUGUCAGGAGAUGGUGAUGGUGAUACUUUUGGCCUGGAUGAUUGAGUCUUCAUUUACAUAUUGACUAUGUGAGAAACAGACUCACCAAUCAGAAAUUUGACAGAAUCAUGAAGUGAAGCAGCAAGCAGUUUAUUGCAUGUAAAAUACGUUCUUGCAAGAGCGGGUGACUAGCAGUCACACCCUUUUCUUUCUCCUUUGAAAACGGUCACGGAAGACGACAUGACAAGAAACAACAGAUGGAAACUCAGCAAGGAGAGAAGCAACCUAGAAUUAAGGAGAAAUUUCCUCACAGUGAGAACAAUUAAUCAGUGGAACAACUCGCCUCCAGAAGUUGUGAAUGCUCCAACACUGGAAGUUUUAAAGAAGAUGUUGGAUAACUAUUUGUCUGAAGUGGUGUAGGGUUUCCUGCCUGAGCAGGGGGUUGGACUAGAAGACCUCCAAGGUCCCUUCCAACUCUGUUAUUUUGUUAUUCUGACAUAACAUAAGGGAUUAGCGCCAGACUAGGCAAAAUUAAACACAACACAGAAUAACAGAGAUGUACCUUAUACAGGUAGUCCUUGACUUACAACCACAGUUGAGGUCAAAAUUUCUGUUGCUAAGUGAGACAGUUAAGCGAGUUUUUUCCCAUUUUAUGACCUUUCUUGCCACCGCUGUUAAAUGAAUCGCUGUAGUUGUUAAAUUAGUAACAGGCUUGUUAAGUGAAUCUGGCUUCCCCAUUGAGUUUGCUUGUCGGAAGUUUGCGAAAGGGGAUCAUGUGACCCUGGGACACUGCAACCGUCAUAAAUACGAGACAAUUGGCAAGCAUCUGAAUUUUGAUCACGUGACCAUAGGGAUGCUGCAGUGAUCAUAAGUGUGAAAAGCCGUCGUAAGUCACUUUCCUCACAGUGCUGUUGUAACUUCGAACGGUCACUGAACGAACUGUUGAAAAUCGAGGACUACCUGUGUAUACAACUCAGGAUUGUAUUCCAUUUAUCUAAUGGAAUGGACCAUACAACCUUAUUUGUGAUCAUAAUAAAGGAUUAUCUUGCAAGGCUUGGUACA